RNAcentral lists this long non-coding RNA (875 nucleotides) under Cucumis sativus (cucumber). RNAcentral describes it as "long non-coding RNA (CSAT_LNC001527)". Lineage: Eukaryota; Viridiplantae; Streptophyta; Magnoliopsida; Cucurbitales; Cucurbitaceae. The record is from RNAcentral.
AAAUGAGGCCACCCAGUAGUUAGGUGGGAAUUUUCGAGACCUUUGGCACCGUUCUAAGAUGGGUCCUCUCUUCGUAGGCUAAUGCAUUGGCCCUUUUUGACCCGUUUUGGGGCGAAAACAAAAACUGACUCCCGGGCAUAUUUUUUUCGGCCUUUAUGGGCAGAGAACUUUAACACCGCUCAAAAUGAGGCCACCCAGUAGUUAGGUGUGAAUUUUCGAGACCUUUGGCACCGUUCUAAGAUGGGUCCUCUCUUCGUAGGCUAAUGCAUUGGCCCUUUUUGACCCGUUUUGGGGCGAAAACAAAAACUGACUCCCGGGCAUAUUUUUUUCGGCCUUUAUGGGCAGAGAACUUUAAUACCGCUCAAAAUGAGGCCACCCAGUAGUUAGGUGUGAAUUUUCGAGACCUUUGGCACCGUUCUAAGAUGGGUCCUCUCUUCGUAGGCUAAUGCAUUGGCCCUUUUUGACCCGUUUUGGGGCGAAAACAAAAACUGACUCCCGGGCAUAUUUUUUUCGGCCUUUAUGGGCAGAGAACUUUAACACCGCUCAAAAUGAGGCCACCCAGUAGUUAGGUGGGAAUUUUCGAGACCUUUGGCACCGUUCUAAGAUGGGUCCUCUCUUCGUAGGCUAAUGCAUUGGCCCUUUUUGACCCGUUUUGGGGCGAAAACAAAAACUGACUCCCGGGCAUAUUUUUUUUCGGCCUUUAUGGGCAGAGAACUUUAACACCGCUCAAAAUGAGGCCACCCAGUAGUUAGGUGGGAAUUUUCGAGACCUUUGGCACCGUUCUAAGAUGGGUCCUCUCUUCGUAGGCUAAUGCAUUGGCCCUUUUUGACCCGUUUUGGGGCGAAAACAAAAACUGACUCCCGGGCAUAUUUUUC